Cyprinus carpio carpio is the source of this 598-nucleotide long non-coding RNA. The record is from Ensembl. Lineage: Eukaryota; Metazoa; Chordata; Actinopteri; Cypriniformes; Cyprinidae.
UAAUUUAGAAAUUUGAAGCAAAAACAAGAAUGACUUCAGUUUUGUGAAACUAUACAUAAACAUAUCUGCAUGAAACAGAAACAGCAGACGAGCUGAACGAGAUGCAGAUUCACUCUCUGCCAGCAGGUGGAGCUUAAAGCGUUUCCUUGGUUACCGCUGUAAACAAAGUACUUACGAACACCGCAGCAGGUGGAGCUUAACGCGUUUCCUUGGUUACCGCUGUAAACAAAGCACUUACGAACACCGCAGCAGGUGGAGCUUAACGCGUUUCCUUGGUUACCGCUGUAAAUGAAGCAGCGCUGCACUUAUGAACUUUAAUAUGCAUUAUACAGAGGCAAGAUGAAAAGAAAAAAUACCAUCUAAACUUUUCUAAAGACAGUAAGUUCCCCUUAGAUAUAUAUUCAUAUAAACUCCUUCCCCUAAUUAAAUUUUAUAAAGCACUGGUGUAAAAUUAUAUAGAAAUAUGAAAUUAUUUAAUAUAUUUAAAAUCAUGAAAUGGCCAGUAGGUGAAAAUAAAUUACUUUCAUAAUGAGUUUGAAUAAUUCAUUGAAACGUUUCAUUCAAAAUGCUGAUUCAUUUAGGAAUGAAGCAAGUGAAC